This 460-nucleotide ribosomal RNA is filed under the name uncultured bacterium. RNAcentral's name for it is "partial 16S ribosomal RNA". It matches the Rfam family "Bacterial small subunit ribosomal RNA", at positions 338 to 795 of the family's 1533-position model. The record is from RNAcentral.
CCUACGGGAGGCAGCAGUGAGGAAUAUUGGUCAAUGGACGAGAGUCUGAACCAGCCAAGUAGCGUGAAGGAUGACUGCCCUAUGGGUUGUAAACUUCUUUUAUAUGGGAAUAAAACGUUCCACGUGUGGGAUUUUGUAUGUACCAUAUGAAUAAGGAUCGGCUAACUCCGUGCCAGCAGCCGCGGUAAUACGGAGGAUCCGAGCGUUAUCCGGAUUUAUUGGGUUUAAAGGGCGCGUAGGUGGAUUGUUAAGUUAGUUGGGAAAGUUUGCGGCUCAACCGUAAGAUUGCAGUUGAAACUGGCAGUAUUGAGUACAGUAGAGGUAGGCGGAAUUCGUGGUGUAGCGGUGAAAUGCUUAGAUAUCACGAAGAACUCCGAUUGCGAAGGCAGUUCACUGGACUGCAACUGACACUGGGGCUCGAAAGUGUGGGUAUCAAACAGGAUUAGAUACCCGUGUAGUC